AGAUAAUAUAAAACAAUCCUUCAUAUAUCCUCAAUGAUAUGGUUUGAGAGUCUCUACCGGGUUACCGUAAACAACCUGACUAUGAAGGCAGUGUGUCUUAUA
Molecule: non-coding RNA, 102 nt
Organism: Bacillus gaemokensis
Lineage: Bacteria; Bacillati; Bacillota; Bacilli; Caryophanales; Bacillaceae
Source: Rfam